AGAAAGCAAAAGUAUUUCCAGUCUCCUCCUGACGCACUGUCACAGAAGAUCUCUGUCCUUGUAUUUAGGGAUACACAUCCAUAUACUUGCCUGAACGUGUGAGUCCUUGGAAUUACGGAUUCAUUGCCGGUAGCUGGUGAUCUCCUACGCAGAAGGUCGCUAACUACAAGAAAUGUUACGUGCGGUGCUGGUCUUCUGAACAAAUGCCCCCUGAGGAAUUCUGUGCCUGGAGAAUAUCUGUCUACAGAUUUCUUUUGACGCCCUAUGUAAGUAGAGGCUUGUGCUUAAAACUCAGUCUCACGGGAGCUUUGUUUUAUUUUGUUCCUGGAGGAUCCCCCGGUAAGUUUUUUUUAGGUGGUCAUCAGUGUUUGAUCUCGGUUUUUUUUCUCUAAAACACUCAACUUCCAAUUUACUAUCAGAAAAAGUCUGUAACACGAACUUCUGCUCAAAAUCAAGGGUAUGGAUCCCAUGUUCAGGUCUCAGAAUGGGAAGAGGAGAAAGCAGAAAAUAUGAAAACCACUCACUUGGGUCAAUUCAGUUGGAGAUGCCAUUUGUAGAUCCGAGGGCAUCUUUUCAGGGUUUAGUAUUCAUCAGACUCCUCUGUGGUUAGCGACUGUGGAAUGUGCCCCGUACAGCUCAGGGUGUGGGCACGGGAUCCGGGAGCCCUUCCGUUUGGGAGCCGUGACAGAUCUCUUAGCCACAUCUCUGCUUAUAACAGGCUGAAGGAAAACUGAUAUCUUAUUUUUAUCGUUGUAACCGUCAUUUAUUGAAUGUGUACAUGUGCUAUUUCCAGUUCCACUCGCUUCUCCUUCUCUGUCUUAAUUCUCACAACAACCUUACGUGGUAGGUCUUGUUAUUACCCUGAUUUCACAGAUGAGGAGACCGAGGCACAGAGAGUCAAGUAACUUCCCCCAGUUUGUGCGGGGAGCGAAUUCCAGAACUUGACGUUCCAGCCCCAGAAGUCUGCGUUGGACCAUCCCACCAAACUGCCCCAUAGAAACGAGCAGCUUUGGAGGACGAGCUGGUGGGCUGUAUUUGGAGACGGUGUUUUAGCACUGCCACGAUCCCAUGCGGGAGGGGGCUGCUGGACUUACAAAGGCUUGAGCUUGCUUAAGACUAGUAGGAGAACCAGGCUUUAGAGACGAUGUGACUUGCUUAUGGUCACGCCGCAAGUCAGAAUGUGGCGGAGGGUCUGGGGCCAAAUCCUACCGGUUUCCAAGUUUUCUCCUUCCUCUUGGUUGUUAGGUGCCGCUUCUGCUGUUCGAGACCAAAGCUGGUUUCAGUGGUUUGCUCACGUGCUUAUGGACGAAACCCUGCACCUCAGAGCCCGUUUAUGUUCAGAGGUCCACAUGGCCAUGUGAAGAUUGGCCGUUACAGUAUCUAUAAAGCACCAAGCAGCAAAGAAUGAUCGGCGUGCUGAGGCUCGGCAAAAUUAAAUGAUUGCCCAAGAUCCCACAGCUAGUCAACAGCACAGCCAGAACUUCAGCUUGGAGCCAGAACUCCAGAUCCUGCGCUACUUAUUUAUCUGCUUCCUGUAAGAAAGUAUUCAUUAAAGGCACGUAAGUCAACAGAGAGCUAACUCCCCACCGUACGAUCCAGCACCUUCCAACCGAUAACAGUUGCAUCUUUAGUCUGGCCUGGAUAUUUGGGUUAGGACUCUUGUAUCCUGAAGUCUGUAACGUUCUGAAGCUACCUUCUUUAAAGACGCGUCAUAGUCAGAUACUGUCUCCUUGUGAAAUAUCCUCACGCCCCGGGGGACGUUAUCUUAAUCCAGUUUGCUCGUGCAAGAAGAGACUGGCAUUUCACUUCAAGGAAAGACAACGUGUUUCCACUGUUCCGCUUUUGCCACACAGGAGUUACCGGUGUGGCUUAUUGAUUGACAUUUCAGGCUCUAACUUUCCUAUCAGAUCUGGAAGAAAAAAAAAAAACAAAGAAUGGCAGCUUGCUCCAGAACAGCAUGAAGUAAGGAAUCGCAGGUGGGAUUUUGAAAUAGAAACACAUUCUUGUAGCCCCUAUGCUGAGAGACACCAAGGAGGGAUUUUGUUCUUGAAAGGUGAGCACUUUAAUGUGGAGGUGGAGAGUUUAACAAUGUUAAGUGUGUGUUCUGUGUGUAAGAAAGAGUUGUUAAAAAAUAACAUUCCUUUCAAACGAUGCAGUACCUUAAAACUGUCAAUGGUUAAAGUAGAGACACCCUGAGUUACAGGAGUUCGGCCCUGCCGUCUCCUGCCCUGAAAAUACAGAACAAUCAGGUUGAUUGUUGGAGGUUGGAGGAUGGGGAGGAGUGGAAACAUGCUGAUGUUUACUGAGUAAGAUCUUUCCUUGCAGUUGACUGUCACUGAAAGACUCAACAAAGUAAGCAGAGGGCUUCCCUGGUGGCGCAGUGGUUGAGAGUACGCCUGCCGAUGCGGGGGACGCGGGUUCGUGCCCCCGUCUGGGAAGAUCCCACGUGCCGCGGAGCGGCUGGGCCCGUGAGCCGUGGCCGCUGAGCCUGCGCAUCCGGAGCCUGUGCUCCGCAACGGGAGAGGCCACAACAGUGAGAGGCCCGCGUACCG
Phocoena sinus (vaquita) is the source of this 2552-nucleotide long non-coding RNA. Lineage: Eukaryota; Metazoa; Chordata; Mammalia; Artiodactyla; Phocoenidae. The record is from Ensembl.